Molecule: ribosomal RNA, 345 nt
Filed under: Triticum aestivum (bread wheat)
Lineage: Eukaryota; Viridiplantae; Streptophyta; Magnoliopsida; Poales; Poaceae
Description: partial small subunit ribosomal RNA
Source: RNAcentral
AUGAUGAACACUGAUCCAGUUCAUUGGAGUAGGGCCUACAUGAAGCUGGGGUUCAAUUGUGAUUCAGUUGAUAACAACAUGUGUGAAUCUUUCAACAACUACAUCCUGUUAGCUAGGUACCUUGCUAUUGUCUCCAUGCUUGAGUGGAUCAGGUGCAAAAUUAUGGUGAGGGUACAAGAAAAUAGAGGGAAGUCAGUUAAAUGGAAAGGAACUAUAUGUCCCAAAAUUUUCAAAAAACUAAAGCAAAAGAUAAGGAGAUCAGGUUUCUGUCAUGUGCUGUGGAAUGGGAAAUUCAAAUUUACUAUUAACUUGCAGCUCUGGACUUGCUCAUGUAGGUAUUGGUGA